GCCCAGUGACUUUUUAAACGGCCGCGGUAUCCUAACCGUGCAAAGGUAGCAUAAUCACUUGUCCCCUAAAUAGGGACUAGUAUGAACGGUCAAAUGAGGACUUAACUGUCUCUUACAUUCUACCAAUAAAACUGAUCUUUCAGUUAAAAAGCUGAAAUAUUAACAUAAGACGAGAAGACCCUGUGGAGCUUAAAACCAAACUCAACUUACUUGUUCCAUUGGUUUUUAGUUGGGGCGACUUCGGAGAACAAAAAAACCUCCAACACUAAUUUUACCAAGACCAACACAUCAACGUAAUUAUCUUGACCCAGUGAGUUCACCAAAACCAUCUGAUCAAUGAACCAAGUUACCCCAGGGAUAACAGCGCCAUCCCCUUUUAGAGUCCCUAUCGACAAGGGGGCUUACGACCUCGAUGUUGGAUCAGGACACCCAAAUAGUGCAGCCGCUAUUAAAGGUUCGUUUGUUCAACGAUUAAAGUCCUACGUGAUCUGAGUUUCAGA
This 500-nucleotide ribosomal RNA is filed under the name Pedioplanis lineoocellata lineoocellata. Its description in RNAcentral is "partial 16S ribosomal RNA". It matches the Rfam family "Bacterial large subunit ribosomal RNA", at positions 1861 to 2616 of the family's 2925-position model. The record is from RNAcentral. Lineage: Eukaryota; Metazoa; Chordata; Lepidosauria; Squamata; Lacertidae.